GGGCGAUUAGCUCAGCUGGUUAGAGCGCUACACUGAUAAUGUAGAGGUCGGAAGUUCAAGUCUUCCAUCGCCCACCA
RNAcentral lists this transfer RNA (77 nucleotides) under Nanobdellota archaeon. RNAcentral's name for it is "tRNA-Ile". It matches the Rfam family "tRNA". Rfam says of the family: Transfer RNA (tRNA) molecules are approximately 80 nucleotides in length. Their secondary structure includes four short double-helical elements and three loops (D, anti-codon, and T loops). Further hydrogen bonds mediate the characteristic L-shaped molecular structure. tRNAs have two regions of fundamental functional importance: the anti-codon, which is responsible for specific mRNA codon recognition, and the 3' end, to which the tRNAs corresponding amino acid is attached (by aminoacyl-tRNA synthetases). tRNAs cope with the degeneracy of the genetic code in two manners: having more than one tRNA (with a specific anti-codon) for a particular amino acid; and 'wobble' base-pairing, i.e. permitting non-standard base-pairing at the 3rd anti-codon position. Lineage: Archaea; Nanobdellati; Nanobdellota. RNAcentral also lists the same sequence under 1 other name. The record is from RNAcentral.